GCCCCUCGCGGGGCCGGCGGGCGGCGUCUCCGUCGCACGCCGUGCGACCUCUACUACUCACUCAGACGACUCUCGGCAACGGAUAUCUCGGCUCUCGCAUCGAUGAAGAACGUAGCGAAAUGCGAUACUUGGUGUGAAUUGCAGAAUCCCGCGAACCAUCGAGUCUUUGAACGCAAGUUGCG
Molecule: ribosomal RNA, 182 nt
Filed under: Cyclanthus bipartitus
Lineage: Eukaryota; Viridiplantae; Streptophyta; Magnoliopsida; Pandanales; Cyclanthaceae
Description: 5.8S ribosomal RNA
Rfam family: 5.8S ribosomal RNA (bases 68-182)
About the family: 5.8S ribosomal RNA (5.8S rRNA) is a component of the large subunit of the eukaryotic ribosome.
Source: RNAcentral